This 497-nucleotide ribosomal RNA is filed under the name uncultured bacterium. RNAcentral describes it as "partial 16S ribosomal RNA". It matches the Rfam family "Bacterial small subunit ribosomal RNA", at positions 28 to 507 of the family's 1533-position model. The record is from RNAcentral.
GAUGAACGCUGGCGGCGUGCCUAAUACAUGCAAGUCGAGCGAACAGACGAGGAGCUUGCUCCUCUGACGUUAGCGGCGGACGGGUGAGUAACACGUGGAUAACCUACCUAUAAGACUGGGAUAACUUCGGGAAACCGGAGCUAAUACCGGAUAAUAUAUUGAACCGCAUGGUUCAAUAGUGAAAGACGGUUUUGCUGUCACUUAUAGAUGGAUCCGCGCCGCAUUAGCUAGUUGGUAAGGUAACGGCUUACCAAGGCAACGAUGCGUAGCCGACCUGAGAGGGUGAUCGGCCACACUUGAAAUGAGACACGGUCCAGACUCCUACGGGAGGCAGCAGGAGGGAAUCUUCCGCAAUGGGCGAAAGCUUGACGGAGCAAAGCCGCGUGAGUGAUGAAGGUCUUCGGAUCGUAAAACUCUGUUAUUAGGGAAGAAAAAAUGUGUAAGUAACUAUGCACGUCUUGACGGUACCUAAUCAGAAAGCCACGGCUAACUACGUG